Molecule: long non-coding RNA, 205 nt
Filed under: Capsicum annuum
Lineage: Eukaryota; Viridiplantae; Streptophyta; Magnoliopsida; Solanales; Solanaceae
Description: long non-coding RNA (CANN_LNC021069)
Source: RNAcentral
AGGAAUGUUAGAAUAUAUUAGAAAAACUAGAGAAAAUCAAGAUAAUCUAAAUAAAGAAAUUAAUUAUAGAAACCGAAUUAGAAAAAUAAUAGAAAAUCUAAAAGAAAAAUUAAUAUGGAUAGAAGAAACCUUAGAAAAUUUAGAAAAAAGUACAUGUGAUAGUUUAUAUAAUUUAAAAAACUCACUACGAGAAGAACAACACAAG